CCUAGGGGUGGCAGCAGUGGGGGAUAUUGCACAAUGGGGGGAACCCUGAUGCAGCGACGCCGCGUGGGUGAAGAAGCGCCUCGGCGCGUAAAGCCCUGUCAGCAGGGAAGAAAAUGACGGUACCUGAAGAAGAAGCCCCGGCUAACUACGUGCCAGCAGCCGCGGUAAUACGUAGAGGGCAAGCGUUAUCCGGAUUUACUGGGUGUAAAGGGGGCGCAGACGGCGAUGCAAGCCAGGAGUGAAAGCCCGGGGCUCAACCAUGGGACUGCUUUUGAAACUGUCAAACUAGAGUACGGGAGAGGUAAGAGGAAUUCCUAGUGUAGCGGUGAAAGGCGUAGAUAUUAGGAGGAACACCAGUGGCGAAGGCGUCUUACUGGACCGAAACUGACGUUGAGGCUCGAAAGCGUGGGGAGCAAACAGGAUUAGAUACCCGAGUAGUC
This 440-nucleotide ribosomal RNA is filed under the name uncultured bacterium. Its description in RNAcentral is "partial 16S ribosomal RNA". It matches the Rfam family "Bacterial small subunit ribosomal RNA", at positions 338 to 795 of the family's 1533-position model. The record is from RNAcentral.